This is a long non-coding RNA of Vespa mandarinia (Asian giant hornet), 641 nucleotides long. NCBI's taxonomy places the organism in Eukaryota, Metazoa, Arthropoda, Insecta, Hymenoptera, Vespidae. The record is from RefSeq and is a predicted model, not a curated record.
CGCGCGUUCAAGAUGUGUUGUUAUACGUUGGGAUAGAAUAAGAGGUUAAGGGGAAGGGGAAGGAAAGAGGAAUGAGAAAGCAUGGAAGAAGGAACGCGUUCGUACACAUGAUGCCGCUAACCGACAACGACAACUACAAAGACGAUCUAGUGACGACAAUGUACGACGACAAUGACGAGAACGAUGACGACUACGACGACGACGACGACGACGAUAAUAACGUAACAGAUAUUUUCACGAAAUCAAAUUCUCGUGAUAUUCAGUGAUAUUAAUUUUUAUUUUAUAUUCGUUCGAUAGAAACGUAAUUAACGUUGAGCAUCAGUGUUAAAUAUAUACGUUCGUUUAAAUAAACGACAAAAAUCCAUAUGGUUCAAGUUUAAGAUUUAUAAAAAGAGGUUAACUUUAAUUCUCAUCCAUAUCAAAAGAUCUACGUGUACGACGUGUCUUAAAGUACGACGCAUAUGCUUACAAGUGUAUUAUCGCCGUUGACGUUUUCAAAAAAAAAAAACGAGGUUAAAGGUCGAAUAAGUUGUAGAAAGUCUAAGAGAGAAAACGAGGAGAUAGAAAAUUUGGAACAAAGCUUGAACAUUUGAAUAAACUGCAAUCGUUGGAUAAUACUCUUGUUAUCAAUUAUCAUCGAG